GAUGAACGCUAGCGGCAGGCCUAAUACAUGCAAGUCGUACGGCAGCACAGUUGCGAGCAAUCGCAACCGGUGGCGAGUGGCGCACGGGUGAGUAACGCGUAUGUAACCUACCCUUCUCCAGGACAUAACUCCGCGAAAGCGGUGCUAAUAUCCCAUAUCAACACUUGAAGACAUCUUCUUGUGUUGAAAGUAGCAAUGCGGUGAAGGAUGGGCAUGCGUCCCAUUAGCUGGUUGGUGAGGUAAUGGCCCACCAAGGCUACGAUGGGUAGGGUUCUGAGAGGAAAGUCCCCCACACUGGUACUGAGACACGGACCAGACUCCUACGGGAGCAGCAGUAAGGAAUAUUGGUAAUGCGCGAAAGCGUGAACCAGCAACGCCGCGUGUGCGAUGAAGGCCCUUGGGUUGUAAAGCACUUUUCGGGAGGAAGAGGAAGGACUGUACUCCCAGAAUAAGCCUCGGCUAACACGUGCCAGCAGCCGCGGUAA
RNAcentral lists this ribosomal RNA (485 nucleotides) under uncultured bacterium. RNAcentral describes it as "bacterial SSU rRNA". It matches the Rfam family "Bacterial small subunit ribosomal RNA", at positions 28 to 523 of the family's 1533-position model. The record is from RNAcentral.